Long non-coding RNA from Physella acuta, 460 nucleotides. RefSeq lists it as uncharacterized. The record is from RefSeq and is a predicted model, not a curated record. NCBI's taxonomy places the organism in Eukaryota, Metazoa, Mollusca, Gastropoda, Physidae.
UGUGGUUGCAUUAAAAAUUGAAAUCUCAGGCAAAAGCGUCGACGGAAGCAAGGCUUACUGUUUGGUGUCUUUAAACUUAAACUAGAUCAAGAGUUUAGAUUCUACCUCAGUUGACAUAUUUCGAAAUAAAACCUACAAUGUCCGGCAGAGAAGGUGGUAAAAAGAAGCCUUUAAAGCAGCCCAAGAAAGGCAAAGAUGAGAUGGAUGAGGAAGAUAUGGCCUUCAAACAAAAACAAAAGGAAGAACAGAAAGCUUUGAAAGAAGCUGCUGCCAAAGCUGCAGGAAAAGGACCUUUAACAUCUGGUGGUAUAAAGAAAUCUGGAAAAAAAUGACCCAUCGCUAAUGUCUGAGUUGUCAUCAUUUUCUCCUUGUUCAUACUGUCAUUUUUAAGUUCAGAGCACCAUUGGAUUUGAUAUAUUUAAGGUUGUUUCAAUAUGCAUAAAUAAAUGAAAUUUACACA